GAGUUUGAUCGUGGCUCAGGACGAACGCUGGCGGCGCGCCUAACACAUGCAAGUCGAACGGAGUAAUUUUUUCACUCCGAACCCUUAGCUUGAAGCUGAAAGGUGAGCGUCAAUCAACGCGAAGCGUUGAUUUAGGCUUAUUUAGUAAGACUAACACCAAGCGGAGGGCUGGGAGUGAAGAAAAUUACUUAGUGGCGAACGGGUGAGUAACGCGUGAGUAACCUGCCCUGGAGUGGGGGACAACGAGUUGGAAACGACUGCUAAUACCGCAUAAGCCCCACGGCCCGGCAUCGGGCUGAGGGAAAAGGAUUUAUUCGCUUCAGGAUGGACUCGCGUCCAAUUAGCUAGUUGGUGAGGUAACGG
This 363-nucleotide ribosomal RNA is filed under the name uncultured bacterium. Its description in RNAcentral is "bacterial SSU rRNA". It matches the Rfam family "Bacterial small subunit ribosomal RNA", at positions 9 to 263 of the family's 1533-position model. The record is from RNAcentral.